GAUGCUGGGGCUUUACAUGUAUAGUAUUAAUGCGCGCACCAUAACCGUACAUCGCAUGUAAAGGCAAUAGGCUAUAAACCGAUGUGUGUAGGCUAUCUAAAUCCAGAUAUUUACCUAUAGCGUAAAUAAUCCUGUGGGAUUUUGUAGAUGAUCCGCGUCUCGUACGGUCAAUUUGAUUCCAUUGUAGACCCACUAGACUAGAUUCCUUUUAUGUCACUCGCUCAAAAAUGUGGCACGGAUUUUACAGUCGUAGGAUGACAGAUUACUCAAGUGUUGUGAAAGCCACUCCUGAAACAAGUGUCAAUGUGAACAUGUGUCAGCGAUGACCGAAGUUGAAGUGACGUAUGCAGACUUCAUAGCCUCCGGUAGAACUGGACGAAGGAAUGCCCUGCAUGAUAUCCUCCAAAGCCCCACUGACCCAGACGCUAGGGAUCUCCCCCUGAGCCUAUCUCAACUCAACAUCAAUCCAACCGGAGCUGACAUGGAAGAAA
This is a non-coding RNA of Salvelinus sp. IW2-2015, 491 nucleotides long. The record is from RefSeq and is a predicted model, not a curated record. NCBI's taxonomy places the organism in Eukaryota, Metazoa, Chordata, Actinopteri, Salmoniformes, Salmonidae.